CGGCCGGGGGCUUUCGCCCAUCUGUAAGGUUACAACUUACCGCCUUCUUCGACCACCUGACC
RNAcentral lists this transfer RNA (62 nucleotides) under Draco blanfordii. Its description in RNAcentral is "tRNA-Tyr". The record is from RNAcentral. Lineage: Eukaryota; Metazoa; Chordata; Lepidosauria; Squamata; Agamidae.